CACGUAGGGUGCGAGCGUUGUCCGGAAUUAUUGGGCGUAAAGAGCGCGCAGGCGGUCGUUCAAGUCGCGUGUGAAAGCCCCCGGCUCAACUGGGGAGGGUCACGCGAUACUGAUCGACUGGAAGGCAGGAGAGGGUAGUGGAAUUCCCGGUGUAGUGGUGAAAUGCGUAGAUAUCGGGAGGAACACCAGUGGCGAAGGCGACUACCUGGCCUGUUCCUGACGCUGAGGCGCGAAAGCUAGGGGAGCAAACGGG
RNAcentral lists this ribosomal RNA (253 nucleotides) under uncultured bacterium. Its description in RNAcentral is "partial 16S ribosomal RNA". It matches the Rfam family "Bacterial small subunit ribosomal RNA", at positions 524 to 776 of the family's 1533-position model. The record is from RNAcentral.